RNAcentral lists this ribosomal RNA (461 nucleotides) under uncultured Actinomyces sp. Its description in RNAcentral is "bacterial SSU rRNA". It matches the Rfam family "Bacterial small subunit ribosomal RNA", at positions 338 to 795 of the family's 1533-position model. Lineage: Bacteria; Bacillati; Actinomycetota; Actinomycetes; Actinomycetales; Actinomycetaceae. The record is from RNAcentral.
CCUACGGGGGGCAGCAGUGGGGAAUAUUGCACAAUGGGCGCAAGCCUGAUGCAGCGACGCCGCGUGAGGGAUGGAGGCCUUCGGGUUGUAAACCUCUUUCGCCAGUGAAGCAGGCCUGCCCCUUGGUGGGUGGGUUGACGGUAGCUGGAUAAGAAGCGCCGGCUAACUACGUGCCAGCAGCCGCGGUAAUACGUAGGGCGCGGGCGUUGUCCGGAAUUAUUGGGCGUAAAGAGCUCGUAGGCGGCUGGUCGCGUCUGUCGUGAAAUCCUCUGGCUUAACUGGGGGCUUGCGGUGGGUACGGGCCGGCUUGAGUGCGGUAGGGGAGACUGGAACUCCUGGUGUAGCGGUGGAAUGCGCAGAUAUCAGGAAGAACACCGGUGGCGAAGGCGGGUCUCUGGGCCGUUACUGACGCUGAGGAGCGAAAGCGUGGGGAGCGAACAGGAUUAGAUACCCCUGUAGUC